Molecule: ribosomal RNA, 944 nt
Filed under: Arthrobacter sp.
Lineage: Bacteria; Bacillati; Actinomycetota; Actinomycetes; Micrococcales; Micrococcaceae
Description: bacterial SSU rRNA
Rfam family: Bacterial small subunit ribosomal RNA (bases 1-838)
Source: RNAcentral
GCCGUCCGAGACCCCCUUCUUACACAUGUCAAGUCGACGAUGAUCCCAGUCUUGCUGGGGGAUUAGUGGCGAACGGGUGAGUAACACGUGAGUAACCUGCCCUUGACUCUGGGAUAAGCCUGGGAAACUGGGUCUAAUACCGGAUAUGACUCCUCAUCGCAUGGUGGGGGGUGGAAAGCUUUUGUGGUUUUGGAUGGACUCGCGGCCUAUCAGCUUGUUGGUGGGGUAAUGGCCUACCAAGGCGACGACGGGUAGCCGGCCUGAGAGGGUGACCGGCCACACUGGGACUGAGACACGGCCCAGACUCCUACGGGAGGCAGCAGUGGGGAAUAUUGCACAAUGGGCGCAAGCCUGAUGCAGCGACGCCGCGUGAGGGAUGACGGCCUUCGGGUUGUAAACCUCUUUCAGUAGGGAAGAAGCGUAAGUGACGGUACCUGCAGAAGAAGCGCCGGCUAACUACGUGCCAGCAGCCGCGGUAAUACGUAGGGCGCAAGCGUUAUCCGGAAUUAUUGGGCGUAAAGAGCUCGUAGGCGGUUUGUCGCGUCUGCUGUGAAAGACCGGGGCUCAACUCCGGUUCUGCAGUGGGUACGGGCAGACUAGAGUGCAGUAGGGGAGACUGGAAUUCCUGGUGUAGCGGUGAAAUGCGCAGAUAUCAGGAGGAACACCGAUGGCGAAGGCAGGUCUCUGGGCUGUAACUGACGCUGAGGAGCGAAAGCAUGGGGAGCGAACAGGAUUAGAUACCCCUGGUAGUCCAUGCCGUAAACGUUGGGCACUAGGUGUGGGGGACAUUCCCACGUUUUUCCGCGCCCGUAGCUAACGCAUUUAAGUGCUCCCCGCCCUGGGGGAGUUACCGGCCCGCAUAGGCUAAAAAACUUCAAAGGAAUUUGACCGGGGGCCCCCGGCCACCAAAUCCGGGGCUGGGGGGAGCACAAUAUUGGUGCUCG